This 235-nucleotide long non-coding RNA is filed under the name Lathyrus oleraceus (garden pea). Its description in RNAcentral is "Pisum sativum (pea) long non-coding RNA (PSAT_LNC013216)". The record is from RNAcentral. Lineage: Eukaryota; Viridiplantae; Streptophyta; Magnoliopsida; Fabales; Fabaceae.
GUUGGUGUUUAUUUCGGAUCUAAAACCCUUAAUCUUAACCUGGGGCAGGGUAGUUAUGUUCAGAUAGUUUGAUCGUGCAUUCGAUCUUUCAAAAAAAAUCGUCCAUAUGUACACCCUCCAAUUAGGUUCAACCACAUGUUAUCCUUCGCGCACAUGUUGAAGUGUCGAAGAAGUUAAGAAAAGUUAAAAUUAGUGUUGGUUGAUCCUUAUCCACCAAUAAUGUGGCAGUCAAUAC